Molecule: ribosomal RNA, 253 nt
Filed under: uncultured bacterium
Lineage: Bacteria
Description: partial 16S ribosomal RNA
Rfam family: Bacterial small subunit ribosomal RNA
Source: RNAcentral
UACAGAGGUCCCAAGCGUUGUUCGGAUUCAUUGGGCGUAAAGGGUGUGUAGGUGGCGCCGUAAGUCGGGUGUGAAAUCUCGGGGCUUAACUCCGAAACUGCAUUCGAUACUGCGGUGCUUGAGGACUGGAGAGGAGACUGGAAUUCAUGGUGUAGCAGUGAAAUGCGUGGAUAUCAAGAGGAACACUCGUGGCGAAAGCGAGCUACUGGACAACUCCUGACGCUGAGGCUCGAAGGCCAGGGUAGCGAAAGGG